Hemibagrus wyckioides is the source of this 446-nucleotide long non-coding RNA. RefSeq lists it as uncharacterized. NCBI's taxonomy places the organism in Eukaryota, Metazoa, Chordata, Actinopteri, Siluriformes, Bagridae. The record is from RefSeq and is a predicted model, not a curated record. The transcript is spliced from 3 exons.
CCGAGACUCACAUAAUGCCAGUGUUCCUGAACAUCCAGAGCAGGACAUCCCACGUUUCUGUACAUACUUAUGUAGUCUAGAGGAUCUGGGCCCCCUAACCUGUGUUUACAUAAUGAAAGGGCUUGUUUACCUGGUGCUUGGAUACAAGAGACAUGCUUGGACAUUCUGCCUACAGACACAUGAAACACAAGUUCUUUGGAAACAUAACAUGGAAAUGGCAAAUCCUGCUUCAUGUCCAGACUGUCAGAUCUGCCUGGGAGAGUAUGUCCACCUUUUAUAUCCCAUCUACUGUUCUCCACAACAUACAAGCUUUCAGAACCAAACUAUCCAGCCAGAGAUCCACCACUACUAUCAUUCUCUGCCUUUUCUUCUAGCUACGCCUUGGGACUGGUAUUACCACCAUCUAUAUACACAACCCCUUUCGGACCCUCUGGUAAACCCUUCAC